GCCUGAUAAUUUGACUCUAUGUUUUAGCAUGUGUCAACACUUCAACCUACAAGAUGAGUUCCACGUUACGUGGUUCAUGUCAAGAGGAUGGCAAUUUUAGAAAUUUUAGCAUAUCAAGCUUCAUCUAGAAGGAUGAGUUUCAUACUGGGUUGGGCCAGGCUGUUUCUGGGCCGGUGGCCCGAUUCGUCUCGUGCUCGCGCGAGUCCGCGCGCUCCCGCUCAGCCAGGCUGGUUAUGGGCCAAAUUGGCUGGCUUCCGCUCAUGCCACGCAAAAGAAACAUACGCGCGCACAGUCGGCCGAUUUCGCGUUCGCGCGUACGUUCGCGCCAGAUUCGGUCGCGCGACGAACGAAAAAGGUAGUACGGCCGCCAUUAGUCGCGUCCUAUAAAUUUUACAUUCUAAGCCAGUUUUUUGGAUGUGCGACAACAUUUAUGAUACCAAUCAGUUGUCAAUACACUAUAAAAACACAUUUCAUUGUCAAUACACUAUAAAAACACAUUUCAUGAUGGAUCUAAUGAUAUUGAGGUAUUGUAAGUGUUGAUAUUUUUUCUAUAAAUUUGGUCACUUGAAAAGUUGGACUUGGGACAAAAUUGACAUUCCUAUAUUUUGGAAUGGAAUGAGCAAUGACCCCACUGUGUAGGAUCAACUUUUUUUCUUCUGAGAAAUCAAUUUUAACUUUAGUAGUUCAGCUGCGUGUAUAUCAUGCACACGUCGAGUUAGUACAAACCGCAUGGCUUCAAUCUAUAAUCUAAUUGAUCUAGUCAAAUUUCAAAAGAAACUACACAUGAUGAUCCAUUCAUUGAACUACUGAACUUCUCUUUGUGUGCAUGUGCGAAUGGGACUGUAGGUGGACACCUAUACUACCUUAGGGCUUAGAUAGACAUCGGAUGCGCACAUGUUGGGAUCAUGCAUAGCACAGUUAUUUAAUUGGAUGGGAAAAAAAUAUGCAUAUAUACGCUUCCGUGCACUAAUCAUGUUGUCAAUGCACAAGCGUACGUACUACGUACCGGUGGAAAAUUAAUCUGCGAAACACUGAUCCACCACGUGGAAUCGUGGAGAUUUUUUUUAUUUUUAUUUUUGAGAACGUGGAAUCGUGGAGAUGAGUCCGGAGAGUCCCAUUAGGGCAUUACCCAUACGCACAAAGACAUCUUCGCCAGGCCAGAAAAGUACACGGCAUCCAUCUCAAACUAGGCCGAGGUUUCUGAUGGGCUUGAGAGAUAUGGCCGUAGUUUGCGCAGUUUCCCAGCUAGCUCGUAAGUAAGAAGGGCCGCAUCCUACGAGGAUGCCGAGCCGUAACUAAUAAGAGCCCGCGUCCUACGUGUAUGGGCGGGGCACAAGUAAGGAGCUGGAAUGAUUUGCUGGUUCUUAUUUGUCCUGUUCGAAUGAUUUGUUAGUUUUGUCCCGACAGAUCUAGAGAAUUUUUUCUUCGAAGAGUUUUGUGUAACUUUUAGUUUCUUCAGGAUCUUUUGUUGUCGGUUUUUGUUUUAGUUUCUCCAAUACUUUGUACUCUGUUUACUGAAUCAAUAAAGUUAAAUGUUUCUCAAAAGAAAAAAUAUUUGCUAGUUCAAUAUUUUACUUCAGCAAAUGUAAAUAUUUAAUUAUAUAUGAGAUAAAUGAGAUACCGCUUGUAUCAUGCGUCUAGGUCCAGCUGGUUGAAUCUGCAGCGUUUGUCGCUCUGUCGUGCAUUCGUGCCAAGUCACCAGCUAGUAACGGUGCAUGUUGUCUAACGCACACAGCACACAGCACGCAUGCAAGAUUUAGCUAUCAGCACUAUGGGCCAAAAGCAGCAAACACAGGU
RNAcentral lists this long non-coding RNA (1797 nucleotides) under Brachypodium distachyon (stiff brome). Its description in RNAcentral is "long non-coding RNA (BDIS_LNC002609)". Lineage: Eukaryota; Viridiplantae; Streptophyta; Magnoliopsida; Poales; Poaceae. The record is from RNAcentral.